GGGAGAGCUGGACAACACUACUUCUAAGGACUCUCUACCUGUCCCCUAGAUGCGCCUCGGCCUGCAGUCAUCUCCAAGGGACGGGAGCCACGCAAAACCUUCCUACCUAAUCACUGCCCCCUAUUGUAACUCUCCCUAGGGCUUGUGGGAUAAAAGUGCAUGGGACUAGGGAGAGGAGUGGCUCUGCAGUACCCAUGACAACAUACCACUCUGUGGUUUUUGGCUGUGUUGUUUUAUUUUUUGGACCAGUGUGAUACUUGGCCCCCACUCUCAAGAUCGCCGAGGACCAUUUCUUUCUACUGAGAUGUUCCAGUUAUUAAGUUCAAGAAUGCUGUCACUCUGGAUUUCUCUGUCCAGUUACUCUGCUGGGAGCACCUAAUUUCUCACCUGGGAUGUCUACAGAUGCCUCCUGAGUAGAACCUGCUUCCGAGGACUGUGAGGCCUGAUGUAUGGGGUCUGUGAAGGGAAGAGACGGAGGGCUGGAUACAUCGUUACAGCAUUUGAAAUCCCGAAGCCCUUCCUCGUAGCCUCCACCCUCGUUCUACAGGUGAGACAACAGAAACCUCGAGAUGUUACAACCAGCACCCAUAGCCAGUUAGUAGUUGGGCAGUCUCUGCUCACCUAACUCUCCAGGCCUGCUUGCUGACUGCUUCCAACUAUGGAAGUG
This 667-nucleotide long non-coding RNA is filed under the name Ursus maritimus (polar bear). Its description in RNAcentral is "lncRNA (ENSUMAG00000018940.1)". The record is from RNAcentral. Lineage: Eukaryota; Metazoa; Chordata; Mammalia; Carnivora; Ursidae.